This is a long non-coding RNA of Aethalodelphis obliquidens (Pacific white-sided dolphin), 1245 nucleotides long. RefSeq lists it as uncharacterized. The record is from RefSeq and is a predicted model, not a curated record. NCBI's taxonomy places the organism in Eukaryota, Metazoa, Chordata, Mammalia, Artiodactyla, Delphinidae. The transcript has 3 exons.
CUUAAAGAUGGCAUGAACCAACAGAAAUUACCUAGAAUAUUCUCUAGGCUUUAUACCAAACACUCAGAAUCUUAAGCACUGUAAAAGACUUCAGAGUUGAUCAAAUAUAAUUAUUCAUUUCCCUAUAAAGAAACUGAGAACUAGAAUUACACGCCUUAGCUCAAGUCACCAAGCUAAUUCAUAGAACAGCUUAUACACCAUUAAAGAAAGGGUCUGUAUAAAAUUCUACACCUUUUUUUUUCUUAUGGACAAACUACCAUCCACUCACUAUAUCAAUGUCAGGAAUCCACUUUUCUAAGUUCUCGAUGUCUUCAAUUCUUGCUAGUUUAUGCAACAAGCCUUCUGAUCAAGUCAGUACAAUGUGGUCAACACUUAGUGCAUGUGCUCAGUGCCCUGUCAGCUUCUGGGGUGACCAAGAUGACUCAGACCAGGGAGGGGCUCACGGCUGACGGGAAAUGACUGGCAUGUGGCAGAUGUGAUAAGGGCUCGAAUAAACACUGGCAUGUGCACGCUAACCUGUCACAGGCCAGGAGGCAAAUGAUUCAGCCCGAGUGAAGAAGGGUACAUCACCCCUUCUCCCCGCCACCCAGGCUCUCAGGUGCUCCGGGCAAGAGGAGGCAGAGAAGGAACCCCACAGCCUAGGACUUGGAACACUUCCCUUAUAAGAAAUGGCUCUCAGCGAAUGGAAACAAACAGCUACACUUGGAACAUUAUUUCCUCCUCCGAAGAACAAAGCUCCAAGAAGCUACAAGUCUUAGAAGAGAAGGUUAUCGAGACUGACACAGCUUUGGAUGAUGGAGGCGCGAGCCCCCUUAAAAAACCCGAAUGAAACAGUCACCGUCAUGGGAAGGCCCAUGCAGGCCUGCCCAGGCUCUAGCAGUCAGAUGCUAAGUUCCAAGAAGGGCAUUUUCUAAUCAAGCUGCAAAAGCGGAAGCAGGUACUUUCCAACUCAGAACUCUCUUCCUCACACGGCGCCAUAGGCAGUGUACAAAGUUAAUCGACUGCUUUCCUAGGUAACCUUCAAACCUGGAACUAGCUAUUGCCAAUACCGGAUGUUAGGACUGAGUGCCUGAUAACUUUUCUCCAUUGCUGUUAUACAGGUUUUGCAAAGUUUUUAAUGGGAAUGCCACCUCAGACCCUCAUAAAUUUGCUAGCUAUAUGAGCUUUCUCUCACAAGGGUCGUCAUAAAAAUUCUUGUGGGGACGAAGUAGGUUCUAAAUCGUUUUAGGGAACGUUUCUUUUUUA